Molecule: long non-coding RNA, 1448 nt
Filed under: Homo sapiens (human)
Lineage: Eukaryota; Metazoa; Chordata; Mammalia; Primates; Hominidae
Description: HSALNT0358944
Source: RNAcentral
CAAUCAAGUUGACACUCGGUAUUAACCAUCACAAUGAUUUAUCAAAGGCACACAUCUAUUGGAUCAAUUUAUUUUUACAAAAUGCAAAUUGCAAGAGGGCAGAUAAAUGGUUCAUUCUGUUUCUAUUCACCGUUUCAUCGCAGGAAUGGAAGCAUAAUAGGCUCUCAGAACAUUUUUGUUCAGUGUUCAAUUGAUGAACAUAGGAGAGAGCUCAGGCUAACUUGGAAGUCAUUUAUGUGUAAGCACAGGGCAACUGGUUGUUACAGAAAAGAGAACAUUCAAGAAAUCAUGGAGGUGGAAUACAGGAACCUGGGCACCACAUACGCAGAUUACGUGUUGCUCCGGGUUCUUUUGCCUUGACUUCAUAUCUGCCCCCUCAGUCUCUCCAGGAUACAAUGUGGAAAACAUGGCCACUGACAGGUUGGCAUAACUGCCAGAAUAGCUUUAUUCAUCAGAAAGACAGGGACUGUCCUACUUACUACCAGUUCUAAAAUCCCUAGAAAAAGACUGCUAUUAGACUGGCUUUUCAAUGGCGGGUACCAACCCUUUAUCCAAUCCAUUGUGAUCGGCGUAGGAAGUCUCAUGAGUACAGUGAGAAUGCACUCCAGCCUGCCUAGAAUGGUCCUGUUUACAACUCUCAGCCUAACUUAUCAUCCACAGCACCCUCCCUCACUCUCAAAUAACGUGCUCUAGUUUAGGUGAUAAAUUAUAGAGUACUUCCACAUGAACAAAAUGAUCCUUUCAUGGUCACCAUGCAGUUGGUGGUUGACUUCUAGAAAUAUGCUUGGGGUGGCAGGAGUAGAAGGUGGCUGGAAACCUAAGAUGACCAAAAGGUGGGAGCACCCUUCAGGAAGCCAAUUGCCUGUGUCCAUCCCUCUGUGCCUGCCAUCCCUAGUGCACCUCUUCCAGACACGACACCCAGAGUUAGGCAGCAGAGCCUGGCAUACUUCAAGAUUCACCCAGAGGUGUGCUGAUCUCUUGAAAGCCUCCCUCUUCUCAUGAUACCACAGGUAGGGGACUGGGUCAGUGGUAAAUUAUAGAAUGAGUAUCCACCUGAGACUCUCAGCUAACUGUCUCCUCUACUUUAAGGAUUUUCCUCCCUUUGACAAGCCCUGCACUUGGAUUUCUCCCGAGUGAAAUACUUGGUGAGGGUUUCACUGACAGGCUUCUUCCCAGGCCCCAGGAUGAUCUUAAGAUUCCUGGAAAUAAACUAAGAAGUAAAUUUAAGGCAGCAUCUUGCACUUUCAUCUAAUUCCUUACCGAAAAUGUGUGAACCUGAAGGCAACUCAAAAUUCUGAGUGAAUUUCCAGACUUUUCUUGGAAGUGACAAGAAAGCAACCACAGGCACCACCCAGUCAGCAUACAGACAUUUGCAGCUUUCUCCCUUCAUUUGCAUUGUUUUCUUUAACACUUUUCCGCCCUCAUUUUUCAUUUGACAUUCUCUUGUU